Molecule: long non-coding RNA, 262 nt
Filed under: Numida meleagris (helmeted guineafowl)
Lineage: Eukaryota; Metazoa; Chordata; Aves; Galliformes; Numididae
Description: lncRNA (ENSNMEG00000005371.1)
Source: RNAcentral
CUUUGUUAGUAUGAGAGGUAUUCAUUUUAUUUUUGACAUACAUAUUCUCUUUCAAAUACAGCCACAGAAGCAAUGAGAUUUGUGAUACAGUGAAACAGAGGCUUUUUCACAACAAGCUCAAGUACUGAGCAGAAGAAAAGCACAUGUGAGCAAGGCAGAAGAUCUAUCCCUUCCACCUGCACUGGCCUUCAUGCAGCAGAGGGAACAAGAGGAAGGGUAAAGAAAAAUAAGGAACAGGAACCAGUGUAAACAAAUAAAAAGA